This 2019-nucleotide ribosomal RNA is filed under the name Phormidium sp. IklLNG19. Its description in RNAcentral is "bacterial SSU rRNA". The stretch from base 1 to 1448 matches the Rfam family "Bacterial small subunit ribosomal RNA". The record is from RNAcentral. Lineage: Bacteria; Bacillati; Cyanobacteriota; Cyanophyceae; Oscillatoriales; Oscillatoriaceae.
UCUGCUUAACACAUGCAAGUCGAACGGAAUCCUUCGGGAUUUAGUGGCGGACGGGUGAGUAACGCGUGAGAACCUAACUUAGGGACGGGGACAACAGUGGGAAACGACUGCUAAUACCCGAUGAGCCGAAAGGUAAAAGAUUAAUUACCCAAAGAAGGGCUCGCGUCCGAUUAGCUAGUUGGAGUGGUAAGAGCACACCAAGGCGACGAUCGGUAGCUGGUCUGAGAGGAUGACCAGCCACACUGGGACUGAGACACGGCCCAGACUCCUACGGGAGGCAGCAGUGGGGAAUUUUCCGCAAUGGGCGAAAGCCUGACGGAGCAAGACCGCGUGAGGGAGGAAGGCUCUUGGGUUGUAAACCUCUUUUCUUUGGGAAGAAGCACUGACGGUACCAAAGGAAUCAGCAUCGGCUAACUCCGUGCCAGCAGCCGCGGUAAUACGGAGGAUGCAAGCGUUAUCCGGAAUCAUUGGGCGUAAAGCGUCCGCAGGUGGCGGCUCAAGUCGGCUGUCAAAGACAGUGGCUCAACUACUGAAAGGCAGUGGAAACUGAACAGCUAGAGGCAGGUAGGGGCAGAGGGAAUUCCCGGUGUAGCGGUGAAAUGCGUAGAGAUCGGGAAGAACACCAGUGGCGAAAGCGCUCUGCUGGACCUGGACUGACACUGAGGGACGAAAGCUAGGGGAGCGAAUGGGAUUAGAUACCCCAGUAGUCCUAGCCGUAAACGAUGGAGACUAGGUGUUGCCCGUAUCGACCCGGGCAGUGCCGCAGCUAACGCGUUAAGUCUCCCGCCUGGGGAGUACGCACGCAAGUGUGAAACUCAAAGGAAUUGACGGGGGCCCGCACAAGCGGUGGAGUAUGUGGUUUAAUUCGAUGCAACGCGAAGAACCUUACCAGGGCUUGACAUGUCCGGAAUCUCCUUGAAAGGGGAGAGUGCCUUCGGGAGCCGGAACACAGGUGGUGCAUGGCUGUCGUCAGCUCGUGUCGUGAGAUGUUGGGUUAAGUCCCGCAACGAGCGCAACCCUCGUUUCUAGUUGCCAGCAUUAAGUUGGGCACUCUGGAGAGACUGCCGGUGACAAACCGGAGGAAGGUGGGGAUGACGUCAAGUCAGCAUGCCCCUUACGUCCUGGGCUACACACGUACUACAAUGCUUUAGACAGAGGGCAGCCAAGUCGCGAGGCCGAGCAAAUCCCAGAAACUAAGGCACAGUUCAGAUUGCAGGCUGCAACUCGCCUGCAUGAAGGCGGAAUCGCUAGUAAUCGCCGGUCAGCAUACGGCGGUGAAUACGUUCCCGGGCCUUGUACACACCGCCCGUCACACCAUGGGAGUUGGCCACGCCCGAAGUCGUUACUCCAACCAUUCGUGGAGGAGGACGCCGAAGGUGGGGCUGAUGACUGGGGUGAAGUCGUAACAAGGUAGCCGUACCGGAAGGUGUGGCUGGAUCACCUCCUUUUUAGGGAGACCAAGCCCAAGCUGACUAAAAAACUCUCAAGAGAAAAAGUCAGGUUGAGGUCAAUCCCAGGUCGUUCGAGAUCGAGAGCCGGCUUUCAAACUAUAGGGGUUCGGAAAUCGAGUCAACAGCGCCAGAGCAAUGAAAAGCGCUGGAGGAGAUAGACCUUGAAGAAUGCCAACAUGGGCUAUUAGCUCAGGUGGUUAGAGCGCACCCCUGAUAAGGGUGAGGUCCCUGGUUCAAGUCCAGGAUGGCCCACCUGCAAAAGGCAAAAGGUCAAAAAGCCACAAGCGCCCUGAUUUAACUUUUGACUGAAUUAGUGGGGGUAUAGCUCAGUUGGUAGAGCGCUGCCUUUGCAAGGCAGAAGUCAGCGGUUCGAGUCCGCUUACCUCCACUCUCCCAAGUUCCCAGCACCUGUCUUGAAUCCAAUCAAGCUAGACUGCUGGAGAAAAAGCCAGCCAGAACCUUGAAAACUGCAUAGCAACUGUCAAAAGCUUGGAAAAAGCGUGAUAGGUUUGUCACGCCAAAUUCAGGCAGGUAGAAACCAAAAAGUCAUCAGAAAUAGUGGUCAAGC